GGUCUUCCUGCAGCUCCCACUGGCCAGCAUCUGUCAAAACUGAGGGACAGACUCCUGUGCAAGUCGAGGGAAAGCUGACUUUGAUGUCACUGGGCCUCAUGCCCCUAUUCUGGCUAUGGCUGGGGGACACGUGGAGUUACAGUGCCAGCUGUUCCCCAAUAUCAGUGCCGAGGACAUGGAGCUGAGGUGGUACAGGUGCCAGCCCUCCCUAGCUGUGCACAUGCAUGAGAGAGGGAUGGACAUGGAUGGAGAGCAAAAGUGGCAGUACAGAGGAAGGACCACCUUCAUGAGUGACCACGUGGCCAGGGGCAAGGCCAUGGUGAGGAGUCACAGGGUCACCACCUUUGACAACAGGACAUACUGCUGCCGCUUCAAGGAUGGUGUAAAGUUCGGCGAGGCCACUGUGCAGGUGCAGGUGGCAGGGCUGGGCAGAGAGCCCAGAAUCCAGGUGACAGACCAGCAGGAUGGAGUCAGGGCGGAGUGCACAUCAGCAGGCUGUUUCCCCAAGUCCUGGGUGGAACGGAGAGACUUCAGGGGCCAGGCUAGGCCUGCUGUGACCAAUCUA
This is a long non-coding RNA of Homo sapiens (human), 565 nucleotides long. The record is from Ensembl. NCBI's taxonomy places the organism in Eukaryota, Metazoa, Chordata, Mammalia, Primates, Hominidae.